RNAcentral lists this ribosomal RNA (301 nucleotides) under uncultured bacterium. RNAcentral's name for it is "partial 16S ribosomal RNA". It matches the Rfam family "Bacterial small subunit ribosomal RNA", at positions 509 to 807 of the family's 1533-position model. The record is from RNAcentral.
CAGCAGCCGCGGGAAUACGAAGGGGGCUAGCGUUGUUCGGAUUUACUGGGCGUAAAGGGUGCGUAGGCGGACUGAUAAGUCAGGGGUGAAAUCCCAAGGCUCAACCUUGGAACUGCCUUUGAUACUGUUAGUCUUGAGUCCGAGAGAGGUGAGUGGAACUGCAAGUGUAGAGGUGAAAUUCGUAGAUAUUCGCAAGAACACCAGUGGCGAAGGCGGCUCACUGGCCCGGAACUGACGCUGAGGCUCGACAGUGUGGGGAGCAAACAGGAUUAGAUACCCGAGUAGUCCCUGUCUCUUAUAC